GGACUACAUCUCCGCGGUACAUAUACUAAAAUUGGAACGAUACAGAGAAGAUUAGCAUGGCCCCUCCGCAAGGAUGACACGCGAAAUCGUGAAGCGUUCCAUAUUUUU
Non-coding RNA from Schistosoma mansoni, 108 nucleotides. The record is from Rfam. Lineage: Eukaryota; Metazoa; Platyhelminthes; Trematoda; Strigeidida; Schistosomatidae.